Non-coding RNA from Echinostoma caproni, 47 nucleotides. The record is from Rfam. Lineage: Eukaryota; Metazoa; Platyhelminthes; Trematoda; Plagiorchiida; Echinostomatidae.
GCACUGCUGACGAGUCUCAAACACAGGACGAAACAGCUGUCCAGUGU